GGCUGUUAAAUGAAUUCAGCAACUGACUUUUUACUCUUCACUAAGCAAGUUUAAGUGGCUGUUGUUCUUGAUGUUCUACAAUCUUAGAUAAAUGAUAUUAUAAAAAUUCAAGCUUUUAUCCAAUCAAACAAUGCAUGAGAAGACUACAAAGCCCUCAGCUUGAUCCUGCACUACUCUACCAAGAAAAUCUCUGAAGGGGUCAAAGUCUGCUCUCCUGAAGUCCAGGGAAGUGAACUUGCUGUGCCCCCUCCUCACUGCCUCAAGGACCUUGAAUGCCAGCACGCCACAGACAGCGCAGCUACUUCUGCCCUCGAGCUUCAUGUUCCCCACCAGCCUCUUCUUAUCGGUAGCACAAUGCAUGCGUGCAAAAAUGUGGAAGUGGCAUAUCUGAGUUCUGACCACUCUGCACAGCGAAUCCGCCAAUCUUUAUUGCGAUAAGUCCUCCAGGUGGCAACACACAUGCGCUUGAAGAUGUACAGAAGGCAUGGAUUUCUCCUAACUCCUCGAGGUGUAGGCGAGCAGACCAGCCAUGGACUGUGAGCUCUCCCCAAUUUUCCCCCAUCUAUUUCACAAUGUCUCUCAUCUUCCUCCGUGUUAUGUCCAAGUCCACACUGAGAACCAGCCUUUUUGGCUCCCAGCUGCCCCUGCGUGCACUGCAGCAUCCAAUUGG
Long non-coding RNA from Numida meleagris (helmeted guineafowl), 670 nucleotides. RefSeq lists it as uncharacterized. The transcript has 3 exons. The record is from RefSeq and is a predicted model, not a curated record. NCBI's taxonomy places the organism in Eukaryota, Metazoa, Chordata, Aves, Galliformes, Numididae.